CUGUCGUUGGAUUAAUAUUGAGUUUGAUGCGCAGGGCUUCAGUAGCUUCACAUUCCACCACGUUAUUGUGACUCAUCGCCUGCGAAGUGUAGGAUAAUUCAUCGCUAGAGCCCGGAAGGAGAGCCAUGACCCCGACGAAAUAUAAUGACACACGAUCAAUAUGAGAGCAUAUAUUCUGGAUGUAUAGGGCUAACUGCGAUAAACAGUCGUUAUUUAAAACUGCAGUCAGUAAAGUUUUUGUUUUCUUUAAUACAAAUAGCAAUGCGGUAUUUUUAUAGUUACAAGCGUAUCAUAUUUAUAUUUUCGGGUAUAAACGUGUUUUAAUGUCGACGAAUAGCACCGUACAAUGGCAAUCUUCGUUGUAAAAUGUCAAUAUAUUGGGAUAGUUAAACUUUUUUAAAAUGCAAAAAUGCUGUUCACAUUAGUAGCCUUAGUCAUUUUGUGUGGGGUAGAGCCUACGAUCUUAUAUCUUCGCAAUUGUAUUGCUAUAUUAAAUUAAUAUAGUGUUGUGUUUUAUUCUGAACAGUUAAAUAUAUAUAUCUGGAAUCUGUGCAUAUUCCUUAUUAAA
Procambarus clarkii (red swamp crayfish) is the source of this 568-nucleotide non-coding RNA. The record is from RefSeq and is a predicted model, not a curated record. NCBI's taxonomy places the organism in Eukaryota, Metazoa, Arthropoda, Malacostraca, Decapoda, Cambaridae.